AACACUGGCUGUAAAACAGAAUCAUAUGUGGGUUCUUAAAAGACUGAUGCUAGGGGCUUAUCCCAGACCAAUGGAAAUGGACUCUCUGGAGGUGAAAACCAGGUAUAUGUACAUUUUUUAGCUGCUCUAAUGAUUAUAAUGUACAGUCAGGGUUGAGAACCAGUUGGGUGAUUUCUAUGCAAAAGCUAUUUCUAUUUGAAAUAUUUUUCUGGACAAGCAAUUGACAUCUCUGUAGUUCAUAUUUUACCAUCUUUUUAUAUAACUUGCUACUGUCCACUCUGACAAAUAUUAGUAUUUAGUAUUCUCAUUCUACACAUCAAAGAGGAAGAAGAGAAGACUUAUUCAAAGGGAACAAUGAAUCAACAGAGUUGGAAGAGAAACCUUUGGUGUAUGCAUUUCAACAUACCACUUCCCUUAAAUUAUGUCUGUACCUUGUAACCAAGAAUUUUGGUAUAUUAUUUAAGAUGCAUUGUAUUUUUCUUUGCAAAGGUAAACUGGCCUCAAAAAAGUGGAUAAUAUUCUAACAUGGGAAUGCAAAACCAUCAUGCCUGGAAGAUCACUGCAUCAAGGUAAGAGGCUUUGGGAUAAGAGAAGUUAAAUACUGGACAGUGAGAACAUUUUCAAAGUAAAAAACUAUAAACAUUAGCAAUAUUUCAUACUAACCAGAAAUGGUUACUCCCAAUACAUUUUUCUUAUGGCUCUAAAUAUUUUCUUACAAAUGGCUUAAGCUGUGUGAGUGUGUGUGUGUGUGCACGUGUGCACACAAAUGCAUAGGCUCUGAGCUUAUCUCUACAAGAUCUUGUUUAGGGCAUUGCCACCUUGAGUUUGCUUUGCUAGUAUAGAGAAAUCUCCCCUGCUCUGCUAGUUCUGCAACUUGCUGUAUCCAGAAUUGUUUUGUGUAUUUUACCCCCAAGUGCAACUCAUGCAACCUGUGU
This 935-nucleotide long non-coding RNA is filed under the name Homo sapiens (human). RNAcentral describes it as "HSALNT0369597". Lineage: Eukaryota; Metazoa; Chordata; Mammalia; Primates; Hominidae. The record is from RNAcentral.